AACGAACGCUGGCGGCAGGCCUAACACAUGCAAGUCGAGCGAGGUAGCAAUACCUAGCGGCGGACGGGUGAGUAACGCGUGGGAACGUACCCUUUGCUACGGAAUAGCCCCGGGAAACUGGGAGUAAUACCGUAUGUGCCCUUCGGGGAAGGAUUUAUCGGCAAAGGAUCGGCCCGCGUUGGAUUAGGUAGUUGGUGAGGUAAUGGCCUACCAAGCCUACGAUCCAUAGCUGGUUUGAGAGGAUGAUCAGCAACACUGGGACUGAGACACGGCCCAGACUCCUACGGGAGGCAGCAGUGGGGAAUCUUAGACAAUGGGCGCAAGCCUGAUCCAGCCAUGCCGCGUGAGUGAUGAAGGCCUUAGGGUUGUAAAGCUCUUUCAGAUGGGAAGAUAAUGACGGUACCAUCAGAAGAAGCCCCGGCUAACUCCGUGCCAGCAGCCGCGGUAAUGUCGUACG
Molecule: ribosomal RNA, 457 nt
Filed under: uncultured bacterium
Lineage: Bacteria
Description: bacterial SSU rRNA
Rfam family: Bacterial small subunit ribosomal RNA
Source: RNAcentral